Molecule: ribosomal RNA, 1128 nt
Filed under: Triticum aestivum (bread wheat)
Lineage: Eukaryota; Viridiplantae; Streptophyta; Magnoliopsida; Poales; Poaceae
Description: partial small subunit ribosomal RNA
Source: RNAcentral
AUGGACGGCGUGUACGAAGCGCUGGUCGUGACCGUGGCUGCCUUCGUAGGCAUCUCCGUACCCUGCCUCCUCGUCGCCUUCCUCUGCCGCCACCGCAAGAACCGCCUCCUCGAGCCGGACCACCGCUGCUCGUCGUCGUCGUCCCUCCCAAUCUCCGCCCCGGUCGGGAUAUCGUCGGAGCUCUCCUCGUCGUGGUCUCUGUACGGAUCGGCCGUCGACUCCUCCCUCAAGAAGCUCUCGCUCGACGACCUCGCCAGGGCCACCGGCGAAUUCUCCCCGGACAACAUCAUCGGCGACGGCAGCUUCGGGUUCGUGUACCGCGCCGUGCUCCCGGACGGCGGACCGGCGGUGGCCGUCAAGCGCCUCUCCGCGGACCACGCCGCCGGCGCCGGCAACCGCGAGUUCCGCGCCGAGCUGGAGGUGCUCGGCAGCCUCAGCCACCGCAACCUUGCGCGCCUGCUCGGCUACUGCGCCGCCGGGCGCGACCGCCUCCUCGUCUACGAGCUCCUCGAGCGAGGCAGCCUCGACGCCUGGCUGCACGGCGACGCCGCCUCGGCCGGUGGCUCGCUCCCGUGGCCCGCGCGCCUCCGCGUCACCCGCGGCGCAGCGGCCGCGCUCGCCUUCCUGCACCACGACCGCCACCCGCCCGUGCUCCACCGCGACGUCAAGUCCAGCAACGUGCUACUCGACGAGGGGUUCGAGGCCAAGCUCGCCGAUUUCGGCCAUGCGAGGGUUGUCACCGGCGGUCCUGCCGCGUCGCAGCUCAGCACGCAGGCCGCCGGCACAGCGGGGUACAUGGCACCAGAGAUACGUGAAGGCGUGGGAGCAAGCGUGAAAGCAGAUGUGUACAGUUUUGGCGUGCUAAUGAUGGAGACAGUGACCGGUCGACGACCAAGCUGGCCAAUGAAGAACAUUAGAGGUAAGGAGGUAGAACUAUUGAAAUGGGCAAGGGAAAAGGUUGAGGCCGACAUAUCCUCGGAGAUUGCGGAUCAUCGAAUGGGUUUAGAAGGGGAAAAGGAAACAAAGGAGGUGAAAACUUUCUUAGACAUCGCACAAAGUUGCACAGAGGAGUCUCCUAAGUAUCGACCGACAAUGAAAGAGGUGGUAGAGAGGCUCAAUAGGCUGUGA